UCGAUGACAAUAUAGUAUAACAUCAAAAAAAAUAAAAAAGUAAUUCAAAGGGGUUAUUAAGGAUAGCACAAGCAAAUUUAUAAAAAAGGAGGUGUCAACCAAAUGCUUUCAUAAUAUUAAAUUAUUUAUCGUGAAAGCGAUCCUAAGGGAAACCUUUUAAUUAAUACUUCCUGAAGUAAAACAUUUUAGUAAGGAAAGGAAAGGAAAUCAACCGAGACUCCGAAAGUAAUGGUGAGUGAAAUCGGAUUAGCCUAAGAUUAUCUUUUAUAAAUUGAAAAAAUUAACUCUUUUUUAUAAUAUUCUUAAUUAAAUUUAUACCAAUAAACUUAAAUAAGUAAUAUGAAAUCAAGAACUUAAUUUACAAAUAAUUUUAUUUCAAAUAAAAAAAAUUUGUUCAAAGAAGGUUAAAAACAAUAAGUCCUGUAGAUUUAUAAAAAAAUAAUAUAAUAAGUACGAUGAGAGUUAACUUGUCGGAAUAUAGGGGAACCAUCCUCUAAGGCUAAGUAUUAUAAAUUUAGCGAUAGUGAAAAAGUACUGUAAAGGAAAAGUUUGAAAAGCAAUGGUUUAAAGAAACAUAAGAGUAAUUAUUAAAAUUUAAAUAAUAUCUAAAAAAUAUUAAAAUUUAAUAAAUGCCGGUGAAAAAGAUCUUGAAUUAGUAACUCUAUAAGCAGUCGAAAUUUAAAAAAAAAAAUGACGGCGUACCUUUUGCAUAAUGGGUCAGCAAGUUAAUAGGAGUAGCAAGGUUAAAAGCCCUAGCGAAAGCGACUGGACUAUACUUAUAAAAAAUCUCAAAUUUUUUCAUAAACAAAUAUAGUGAUGGAUAAGUUACUUCUAUUAGACCCGAAGCCAGGUGAUCUUACUAAGACCAGAUUAUAAUGGAUCGAACGGGUGAAUGUUGCAUAAUUCUCCGAUGAGUUUUAGUAAGCGGUGAAAUGCCAAUCUGACCUGGUGCUAUCUGGUUUUCUACCGAAACAUAUUUAAGUAUGACAUCUACACAAAAUUUAUGGAGGUACAGCAAGGCAAUUCCCAACAAGUAUAAGAGAAAUUAAUUAAAAAAAAUUUCGUCUUUUAGGCGUUUAGGUUGUGGGGACCUCGAAAAUCUUACCUAUGGAAGCGAAUCUCGGAAGUACAUAAAUUGAUGGUAGAUAUUCAGACUAUCCAUGCUAAGUUGGAUAGUCAAGACGGAAACAGCCGAGAACAUUGAUCAAGGUCCCAAAUGAUUAUUAAGUGAAAUUAAGGAUGUUUAAAAUCGGAUACAGCUGUGAAGUGAGCUUGGAAGUAGCUUCUUAUAAUGAUCGUAUGUAACAACGCAUCAGCAGUCUAGAUUGUAGCGCCGAAAAUUUAACGGGUCUUAAAUAAUCAACCGAUAUCGUGUUGGUUUUAAAUAAUAAUAAAAAUAAAAAAUAAAAAUUAAUAAAUAAAUAAAUAAAAUAAAAAGUUUUUCUUUUUUAAAUUCUUAUUUUAAACCUAGGUAGUAGAACAUUCAGUCAAACUAUUUAUAAAACAGUGUUUCAUUGUUUUUAGGUAACUGAAGAGAGAAUGCUGACAUGAGUAACGUAAAAAGAAGUUAUAAUACUUCUCGCCGAAUACGAAAGGGUUGUAAGUGAAAGGUUAAUCCGCCUUACGUGAAUGCGGCCUCUAAGGACUAGAACGAAAGUUUUGGCUGAUGAGUAUAUAAUAGAAAAUCCAUUUUUUGGAUCAGGAAAUUAAUAUGAGAUAAAAUUUUAUUUUAUCUGUAAGAACUUAAUUUUAUUUUUAAUAGGUCUAAAUUUUACAAAUUUUAUAGUAACCUUUAUUCUUUUUAUUUUUAAAUAAAAAAAUAGAAAAAUAAAAUUAAGACUACCGUACCCUAAACCGACACAGGUUCGUAGGUAGAGAAUACUAAGGCGUAGAGCUAAAAGUUGUUAAGGAACUCGGCAAAUUAACCUCAUAAGUUUGACGACAAGAGGUACCGCAUAUUAUUAAAAAUAAAUCUUAAAUAGUAAAAUAUCUAAUAUUUAUUCUUUUUAUAAGGCGGUGACACAUAAUCGGAGGCCCCGACUGUUUACUAAAAACACAGAUCACAGCAAUCAUGUAAAUGAUAGUAUUGUGGUCGAAAUUUGCCCGAUGCCAUUAAUAUAAGAGAGGUUAUAGUUUCUGUGACUAAUCGAAAGUCUGGUUAAUAGCGGUCUUAACUAUGAGGAUCCUAAGGUAGCAAAAUAAAUUGGCCAUUAAAUGUGGUCCGGUAUCAAUAAUGUAACGAGGGCCUCACUGUCUCUACAACUUGCUCAGUGAAAUUGAAUUACCCGUGCAGAUGCGGGUUACCUCCAGGGGGACGGGAAGACCCUAUGCAGCUUUACUGUAGUUAGUUAUCAUAUUAAUCUACAACAACCUUUGUUACUAGAGAAUAGGUAAGUCGAUAGACUAUUUGUGGAAACCUUAAAACUUAGGUUGGGUUAAUGUUUACCUUUAUAUAAAAUAAAAACUUAAAAGGGAGAGGUUACUAAUUGGCAGUUUGACUGGGGCGGUCGUCUUUAAUAGAGUAGCAAAGUACAUCCAAAUAUUUAAAUUAUUAUAAUGUUUUAGUUUAAAUUUAGUUUUCUGGAUUUAAAUUAUUUUACAUUUCAAACAAAUAAAAUAUAAAAUUAUAUUAUAUUUUUUAUAUUAAUAUCUUUCAUAUACUUUUGUAUGUUGUAAAGAAAUACACAAAAAAUUAAAAAAGGUAUAGCUAGAAAUUGAAUGGAGAUCAAUCAACCAGUGAAAGGUUGUGCAGGGCUCAAUGGCGGUAAGCAUGCUUAACUGAAAGACCUAAAAGUCGCACAGAUACGUAAGUAGGGCAUAGUGACCCCUCGCUAUAAUAUGGGAUAGACGGGGAUCAAUUGAUAAAAGUUACGCUAGGGAUAACAGGCUGAUAGCCGACGAGAGUACACAUUGUCUCGGCUGAUUGGCACCUCGAUGUCGACUCAUCCUAUCCUCCGGGGGAAGAAGCUUGGAAGGGUUCGGCUGUUCGCCGAUUAAAAGGGUACGCGAGUUGGGUUUAAUACGACGUGAGUCAGUAUGGUCCCUAUCUUCUGGAGGAAGAAAUAGUAAAAAGGGGCAGACCUUCUAGUACGAAAGGAUCAAUAGGCUGUGUUUCUCUAGUGUACCAAUUGUUUGUACUAACUUUUUUGUUAGGGACCUGUUUUAAAUGUAAUAGGAAAAGUCCUUUUAUAAUUUAUAUUAAGCAAAUAAAUUAUACUUUCUUUUUAAAUAUACUGUUUUUAAAUCUUUAAGUGCGAAACAGUUAAAAGAGUUGAAUAAAAAGGCUACAAGAAAUUAGGAAUGCAUAGUUGGGUAGCCACAAACAUAAUAGAUAAGUGCUGAAUGUCUAUCAAGCAAGAAUCUAACCCCUAGAUACUAAAACGAU
Molecule: ribosomal RNA, 3385 nt
Filed under: Pleurotus pulmonarius
Lineage: Eukaryota; Fungi; Basidiomycota; Agaricomycetes; Agaricales; Pleurotaceae
Description: large subunit ribosomal RNA
Rfam family: Bacterial large subunit ribosomal RNA
Source: RNAcentral